This 303-nucleotide ribosomal RNA is filed under the name uncultured bacterium. RNAcentral describes it as "partial 16S ribosomal RNA". It matches the Rfam family "Bacterial small subunit ribosomal RNA", at positions 507 to 809 of the family's 1533-position model. The record is from RNAcentral.
AGCAGUAGCCGCGGGAAUACGUAGGUGGCAAGCGUUGUCCGGAAUUAUUGGGCGUAAAGGGCUCGCAGGCGGUUUCUUAAGUCUGAUGUGAAAGCCCCCGGCUCAACCGGGGAGGGUCAUUGGAAACUGGGAAACUUGAGUGCAGAAGAGGAGAGUGGAAUUCCACGUGUAGCGGUGAAAAGCGUAGAGAUGUGGAGGAACACCAGUGGCGAAGGCGACUCUCUGGUCUGUAACUGACGCUGAGGAGCGAAAGCGUGGGGAGCGAACAGGAUUAGAUACCCGAGUAGUCCCUGUCUCUUAUAA